CUUUUUUUUUUUUAAAGACAGGAUGAAAUGAUAGCAAAUCCAACUUUGUUUACAGUUAAUUUUAUUUUUUUUUUUCAAGAAUGAUCAUUAUAAAUUGCCCUAUCAAUAUUAAGCAUUAUCCUUGGAGACCUGUUGGACAGAACUAGUCCCGAACUGGAGGAGGAGCAGAGGAGACAUUAUGCUCUUAUCUGUUUGUGCAGAAGCCUGGGGUGCUUGUAAUAACAGCAGUACUGGACUGUGCACAGAGAGCCUGUUCUGAAAGUGUUGGUUCACAUUCUCCUGUAUGAGGUAGGGAAGAAAACAGUUGAGCUUUUGCACAGUGUGCUUGCUAAGCUGUCAUCAGGUACAGAAGAUCUGAAGAUAAAGAAGCUUUUGAAGACAGUGAAACAGACAGAAAUACUGGUAAAUGCAGAAUAAUGAGUAAAUGAGCUACCAAACCAGAGAAGGCUUCUUGCAAUUUUGGAAUCAAAUCUGCAGGACCUGGAGAGACCACUGGCUCUGGC
Molecule: long non-coding RNA, 503 nt
Filed under: Calidris pugnax (ruff)
Lineage: Eukaryota; Metazoa; Chordata; Aves; Charadriiformes; Scolopacidae
Description: lncRNA (ENSCPUG00000019248.1)
Source: RNAcentral